RNAcentral lists this long non-coding RNA (38666 nucleotides) under Gossypium raimondii (Peruvian cotton). RNAcentral describes it as "long non-coding RNA (GRAI_LNC004370)". Lineage: Eukaryota; Viridiplantae; Streptophyta; Magnoliopsida; Malvales; Malvaceae. The record is from RNAcentral.
UUUUUAUUUGUUUAAAUUUAUAUUUUAGUCAUUAAUAUUUUAAUUGUUUCGAUUCGAUCACUAACAUUAUUGAUUUAUAAUAAUUUAAUUAUUUUAUUUUAUUUUAUUUUAUUUUAAUUAUUUUAAGUUACCUAUUAUAUGCUAACUUGGAUGCCAUGUUUUUUUUUUUUUUUUGAACUUUUUAUUGUUGGCCUCACCACUUAUGUAUUUAUUUAUUUUUCUUUUUACCCUCAAUCUCACGUCCUACUCCUUUAUUUCUUUAUUUUUUCCCCUUUUUUCCUUUUACUUUUCUCUUUUUUUUUCUCCCUUUCCAUCUUCAUUUCAUUAGCCUACCUACUAACCGCCACCGCAGCCGCCGCCGCCCCUACUCCAAUGGCCUUUCUGACCAGAAAAAAGGACUAAAAUGAAGCAUGUCGCCUUCUCUUUCUCUUCCUUAGCUUAGUUCUCCUGAAACGGCCCCCAAUUCCACAAAUUUAAAUCCGAAGUUCGAAUGACAAACCUCUCAAAUCUCCUAAAUCUGUUCUCCAAUCGACCCAAUAGGGAAGUAUGUUCAUCUCUCCAUGCAACCCCUCAUUCCACCGUUUAGAUUUCGAAUACAUAACCUCUAAACUCGUUAACCGAGCUUGGCCGGAUCUGCGGCUUUUUCUUUUCCUUCUCUUUUUGGUUUUGAUAUUUAAUUCUCUUACUGCAUGGUUUCUUGGUGAUUUUCUAUUUGGGAUUUGGUAGAGAGGCUCGGCAGUGUCGACGAUGACGGAGGACUAGGGAUGAGAGAGGGAUGGUGAGUGGGGACUUUGGGUGAGGUAAAGGUGAGGGUUAGGUUCAAUUUGGGCAGGUGAGUUGUAGAAGUGUGGAAGCUAAGAGAGAAGAGAUGGUGAAGGUGCGAUGGUUCAGUGGUGAUGGGGGAGGCGGUGGCCAAUGGUGAGCUUGAUGGUGGUUGUAGGUUCUGGGUAUAGGGCUGAGAGUUGAGGGGGUGCUAGGGAGGUUGAGGAGGGUGAAGAGAGAGAGAGAAGAGCCAUUUGAUGGUGGGGCUUAGGUCGGUGCCGAUGACAACAUCGGAGUGGGCGAUGACGACAGCUAUAUGUAGAAGUUAGGGUUUUGCCAAGGGAGAUGAGAAGGAAGGAAAAGAACAAAAAAGAAAAGAAAAGAAAGGGAAAUGUUGAAAUAAAGAAAAAAAGGCUGUUUUUUUUUUCUUUAAGUAGGGUUGAAAUUAUGUGGUGCUGACAUGGCUUUUAAGUUGGCGUUUAACUGCUGACACAUUGUCACAUGUGAUUUUCUUUAGGCCUACUAAAUUGUUAAUUUAGAAAUGAUUAACCUUAGUGAUUGAAUCGUAACAAUUAAAACAUUAAUGAUCAAAAUAUAAAUAUAAAUAAAUAUAAUGGACUAUUUUUAUAAUUUAGCCAUAAAGUAAUUAAUCCAAGCUCAUAUAUUGAUGGUGCGGUUAGUAGUUCAGGUAGUCUAAAUCAGGAUUAGUAUGGGGUUUUGGAGGAAUAUUGGCUGUUAUGUCCUAGAUGUUGGUGUUUUAGAGGGAUGGUAAGCUGCUUGGAAUCUUGAACCACGUUUGUUUGGUUGAAUGAAUGGAAUUAUGUUAUAAUGGAAUAAAAAGAAAUAAAACUGUAAUAGAAUAGAGAUAUAAUUAAUAAUUUAAUUGUUUGAUUUAACAUAAUUGAAUAAAGCUGUAAUAGUAUUCUUGUAUUUGGUUAGAUGAAAUAAAUGUUAUAAUAGCAUGAGGAAAAAAAUUUAAAUGACCAAAAUAUCUUUAGCAGAAUUUUUUUAAAUAGAUGGUUAUUGUUAUUGUUAUUAAAAUAUAUAUUAUUUUAUUAAAUUAUAAUAAUCUUAUUAAAAUUUAAUAAUAUUCUUAAUAUAAUUAUUAUUAAAAUAUGAAUUAAUAAAAUUCAUACAAAUAAUUUAAUCAUAUUUUAACAUAAAUAUUAAUACAAUUUAAUAAAAUAAUAUAUAAUUUAAUAACAUUCUUAAUAUAAUUAUUAUUUUAGUUACAUGACUUUUUUUUCAAAUUUGGGUCAUUCUAUUUCUUGUCGUUGUUCACUUUUCCAUUGAAGUAAAUGUAAGGGUAAUGUCGGAAAAGGUCACAAAGAAAAACAAAAGUGUAAAAGGAUAAAAUUAUACAAUAUUCCAUUACUUUUUAUAUUCAAAUUUGACAAGGGUCAAUUCUUGAACUACUUUACUCCAUAGAUACAAGUUCAAACUUAUACACCUAUAAAUGGCAGAAACAUGAAUUUGUUGAUCACACUCCAUGACCGGCGUUAAGAUUGGUACAAAUUCAUUAGGGGAUGAUAAUGGUGUCGAUUUCCAACAUCUGUAAGAAAUGUUCAGUUGUUUCUUGGCUCACAUUAAGGCUCACUUGGACUAUUGAUGGAAUUGUUUUCAAAACAUAAUUUUUCCUGCCUAUUUCUCCCACUAUCGGUCUACAAAUCAAUUAAAAAAGAAACUAAUUAUAUAUAUGAAGAAUAUAAAUAUAUUAGGGACCAUAUAGAGUAGGACAAGAAUAUAUGAUAUAUAUUUGAACAUGAGGCAACUAUUUCAGGCAAUUAAAAUAAAACAAUAAAUUCAUCCAUAAUGCUAAUAAAGGAGGUAGAUCGAAACGUUAGUAGUACAUGAACUUUUUUAAGUGAAAUGGAGAUGAGGGCAAAUGAUUUGAGCUAAGAAAGAAAGAGAGCAGAGAACUGAUUUGAGCUAAGAUUUGACAAUUGUUGAUAGUAUAGGAAACAUUAAACAUGGUGUAAGCUUUAAACAUUAAACAUAAAUCUGUGGUAAUAAAAAGAUGCACAGAAAGAUAAUGUUAAUUGUUCGAUCGUUUUAGUCUUAGAUCCAACAAACAUCUAAAGAUCACAAAAGACUUGUUUAGUCUUAGAUGAGAUAAACAUACUUACGAUUACAGAACACAUACAUAAUAACUUAAUCUUUGCAGCAAACUGAGAAGCCCUGUGAAAGAAAGAAACAGAAAACUAGUAUGUUAUGAAAACUUGAAAAGUAACUAAAAACAACAAAUUUGGACUUCAUGCCAAAUUAAUUAUCACCUCUACUUUUGGACUAUCUGUGAGCAAACCAAACCAAUUCCUUUUAAAGAUUCAUGAUUUAAUAGUUCCACCAUGUGUUUAAACUUCAAUCAAACUUUGCAUCCUCAACACUAAAUUUCCUUCUUUGAAACCACCAGUGACCCUUUUGCUGCCAACAUAGUACAUACACUUAAAAGAACUAUAAUUGAAGCUACAAAUAAAUUCUCAGAUACCCCAAAUCUCUUUUAUGUUAGUUUAAUCCAUUUCAUACAUCCAAAAUAUUUCUUGGACAAUGGCGCCACUGAAAUCCAUUUCACUCUUACCAAAUUCUUCCACUAUUCCCUUAUAAUUCUAGAUUUGUCCACAUUUUUACAAACUAAUACAUUUCAAAUUCAUAUCAUUCUUGGUUUUGCUACUUUGACUAGGGUACAUGUAACACCCUUAACCCAUAUUCGUCACCGGAAUAGGGUUACGGAGUAUUACCAAAGUUUACAAAUUUAAAAAUAGUUUACACAUGUCAUUUACUGUUCAUAACCGAAAUCAAACAUAUUCAAUCAUAAUGUCCCUUGAAUGGGCCCUCGAGACCCAAUUUAUACGUUUGAAACAAGUCGAGACUAAAUCGAGAACUCGGGAAAUUUUUUACAAAAUUCAAAAAUUUAUCCAAGGUACAAGGGACACAUGCCCAUGUGGUUAGGCCGUAUGGCUCACACGGCUAAGUGACACGCCUGCGUUCCAGGCCAUGUGUGUAACAGCCUAAUUUUCAGUGGUGUCGGAAACAGUGAUUUGAGAUCACUAAAUCUGACUAGUGAGUCUUAAAAAUUAAUAAAUUAAUAAUUAUGGGUCAAGUGUGAAUUUAGAAGAAUUUUUGAAUUAGCGAAUUUUGUGAUUUAGUGGAUUUUUGCGAUUUAAAAAGAAUUUAAUAGGUAAAUUGGGUCUAAAACGAGGUUUCGAGACCUCGAAUUCAUAAGCAAGCCAUAAAUAUUUUUAAAAAUAUUUAUGGAGUGUCAUUGAGUUAGUAUAAAAGUUUCGUUAUAAAAUUAUAACGUUUGGAUAGUCAAUUAAUUAAAAAGGAGUAAAUUGAGAAUAGUGCAAAAUUUGUUAAAAUUGUGAUUAGAUAGCUUAAGUGACUAAUAAGGAGGGAUUUAAAAGGCAAUUAGGCCCAAAUUAUAUGGGCUGGACGGUUGGGCAAGAAAAAUCAGCAGAAAGUAAGGAGAAAUAAGGGCAAAAUUGGAAAUUUUACAAAUUAAAUAUAUAAAACAAAGAUAAAAGUGAAAAAUCUAGAGAUCUCUUCAUAAUUUAUCAGAAAAAACGCCAUAGGAGGUCUGAAACAAGCUGGUUUUUCAUAUUUUUACACCAUAUCGGGAAUCCGAAGAUAAACGCGGAAAAGAGAAAUUAUCGAACUAGUGUCUGAACUUUUACAACUUCUACAAAUCGGCCUAGGUAAGUUCAUAUGGCUGAAUUUUUAUGAUUAAUUGUUAAUGUGGAAAUGAUAUAUUGUAUAAAUUCGUAUAUUGUUACUGAAUUAUGAUUAUGGUAAAAAUGAGAAGAAGAUGAGAUUGUUAGUUCAAAUUAAGGGAUACGCAGGAUUGAGUACACAUGCUUGGCAACCAACGACGAAUUGACGGAUAAGUCCAUGGUGGAUCCAUGGCAAAGUGUGAAAAGUAGGUAUGGUGUUUCGGUGAAGAAAACCAUACUGAGUUGUGAAAAGUAGGUAUGGUGUUUCGGUGAAGAAAACCAUACUGAGUUAUGAAAAGUAGGUAUGGUGUUUCAAUGAAGAAAACCAUACUGAGUUGUGAAAAGUAGGUAUGGUAUUUCAGUGAAGAAAACCAUACUGAGUUAUAGCAAUGUGAAAUAUUCAAGCAAAUUGUGGCACCGGGCAAACGAUGUACCCAAUUCCGUAAGACGAUCCUUAAUUUGACAGGUAUUUGUAAGUGCAAUUGAAACUAAAUGUCGGAAUAGAAGUUGACAUCUGAUAUUGAGCUCGAUUGGAUAUAUUUAUUAUUUGAGAUUGGGGUUGGCAGGAAAUGCUGAAUUUUUAUUUGUUUGUUAAUGUUGUUAGUGAAAUUUUGGUAAUAUUUUAUUAUGAGCCUGUGAACUUACUAAGCUUUCUGUAAGCUUACUGGUGUGUGUUUACUGUUUCUCGUAGAUUGACGUAUAUAUAUUUCGGAGGAUCGGAUCUACAACAACGAUCAUACUAUCCAGAUUUACUCCGGUAGAUUUUGUUAAACAACUUUUUGGAUUUAUAUGGCAUGUAUAGGGAAUUGAAGUAAAAAGUAUUAGUAUGAAUGACUAAGUAUGCAAAAUAAAUUUGAAUGUUAUGGUUGUGUUAGAUAUCGAAAUAUAUACAUGUUUUUAGUUUGAAAUGGUUGAUUGGUUGAACUUCAUUAGUAUUUAAAUGAAGUAGUUGAAAUACUGGAAUUGGUUGUGAUUUAAAUUUGCAGGGAAGGUUAGAUAAUUAUAAAGGGGUUAUAUUGAAUUUUUUUUUAAAAAUUUGCAAUGGAACAGUUUUUGGAUAUAUGCAUUGAGGUAACUGUGAAAAAUCAUCAAAAAAUGGUGGAAAUUGAAUUAGAAGCUGAGUGAGAUACUAAAUUAAAUCUGAAUGAGUCUACUUUCACAUGAAAGAAAUAGAGUAAGAAAAAGAGUUGUAUAUUUUUAGAUAUUUGAAUUUUAGUGAGACAGGGUCAGAAUGGUUUUGAGGUCCCCUGUUCUGACUUUAGAAAUUCAUUAAAAAUUUCACAGAAGGAAUUAUGAGUUAUAAUUUAUAUUUAUAGAUUCCUUGAUGAGUCUAUUUUCAGGAGAAAUAAGUGGAAGCACCAUAUGAAGUCUGUACAAAGAGAUAAUUGAAUUUUAGUGACAAGAGGUCAAGAUGGUCAGUCACUGAAACAGGGGAGACUUUAACUAAUAAACUGUACUAAUUGGCUAAACCAAAAAUUCUAAAAAAUUUAUGGUGAAAAGAUAUAUGAGUCUAGUUUCAGGGAAAAUUUAUGGAUCUAAAUUUCGAGUUUCAUAACUCGAUUUAUAAUUAAAUAAGUGACUGAUGCGCAGGUGGAUAGAUUUGCUGUAAAUAGUGAAAUAAAUUUUCAAACUAAGUUUUUAUACUCCGAAUUAGUAAGAUAAGCUAAGUAAUGCCUCGUGCUCGACUCCGAAAACGGUCUCGAGUAAGAGGUGUUACAAUGUGGCAUUCGAUGUGAGGCACACGGUAGUGUCCUAACCCAUGUCCAUACCCGUGUAACUCUCUAACUUGAUUCAUACGGCCUACCACACGCCCGUAUACUAGGUCGUGUGGACAAUUUAAUUUUCAAAAUUUAGGUGUAGGGGUCACAUGGCCAAGAGGCCAUGUGAGACACACGCCCGUGUCUCUGCCUUUGUGAUCAAUUCUUAGCAUUCUGUUUCUCAAUUUUAAUGAUGCAAGGGACACACGACCAAACCACACGCCUGUGCACAUGGCCGUGUGUCACGCACGGCUAAGAUGCACGCCCGUGUCUCCACCCUUGUGGACGAAAAUAGGUCAUUUUCAAGGCCACUUUUCUCACCCAGUUUGUCUUCCACCUACAUUAACAUUUUAACACAUCCCCAAACCAAUUCAAAACAUUUAAAUCAAGCCAAAACCAAUUCUUAUGUAUGACAUAUCGUCACAUAUUUUCAAGUGACCAACUUACCAAAUUGGUCAAAUAUUCAUUUAAGCAUAUUUAUACCUAAUAUGUAUAUCAAUUCAAGCACACAACACAUAUCAACAUAAUAUGGUCUCAUACAGAUAUACAUCAAAACAUACCAUCACUAGCCAUUCCAAUGGCUAAUUACAACCAAAUAUUAACAUACCAUCAUUUGGUCAAUUUAACUUAUACAUGCCAUUAUACCAAGGAAAAUUUAACUAAUUAUACCAAAAUGAACUGAAGGAUAGUAUGAUCUUGCUCCGACCUGCUUCCAACCUUUACGAGCUUCUGAGUACUAUAAAACAGAGGAAAUAAAAUAGAGUAAGCAUAUUAUGCUUAGUAAGUUCGUAUAACGGAAAAUCAACUUACCAAUCAUUUAUAUUUAAGAUAAGCAUACAAAAUUUAUCCAAAGAAAUUUGGUAAUUUGCCUAAACACAUAUAAUCUCAAGAAACUUGUUAGUCAGAUAUUAUAUAUAAACGCCAAGAAUCAAGGACGAGCUCAUCAUGUAAUAACUUUCAUAAACAUAUGAUUUUCAUAUCAUAUUUCCAUAUAACAUGUGCAUUUCUAUAACAAAUCAUCUUAAAUUCAGUUUAACCAUGUCAGAACUUUACCCGUUAAAUUUAUUUGAAAUAUCGAUGGAUACACAUGUAGUACACUCGAAGUGUACAGAACUGUAAUCCGUCAAUUCAUAUUCAGGGGUACCCAUUAGUUCACAUAAUCAGAAAGCACUCUCUCGAGCCAUAUAACAGGAUGCUCAUGUGACCAUGUAACAAGAAACUUAUCUGGGCUAUACCAGGAAACUCAUAAGAGUUUAAAACAGGAAGCUCAUUGAGCUUAAUAGGUAACUCCGAAGAGUUACUAUCAGGGAGCUCCGGAUAGCCAUAUAAUAGGAAGUUCAAGCGAGCCAUAUCAGGAAGCUCACAAAGAGCCUAUAUUAGAAUUCUCAUAAAAAGCUACGAUAUGUCCGCAUUAUAUGCAAGAUCCAUACCGAUCAUAUAACAGGACGCUCACAAAGAGUUGCAGUAUGACUGCAACACAUGUAGGGUCAAUACCGAUCGGGAUGUUCGCAGGGACCAUGUAACGAGAAGCUCGAGAAGGCUUAUAAUAGGAUGCUCUUUCGAGCUAUGGUGUGUCCGCAACAUCUGCAGGACCACAACCAAUACGGGAAAUACUAUAUCCAUCGAAUUUCAUUUAUUCAAACGAGACUUAUUACUUAUCGGGCAUUAUCGGACAUGUGAUCAAUUUCAUACAUAAGAUAAGACAUUUAUACAAUUCACACAUAUACAACAUUCAAUUCAAACAUAUUAAUAUACAUGAUUUAGUUACACGAACUUACCUCGACACUUGUUUGUAUAAGAGAAUCUACUAAUCCGAUACUUUUUAUUUUCCUAGAUCUAACUCCUUAUUUGAUCUUUCCGGAUCUAUAUAAAUGGAUUUAACAUCAAUUUAACACAUUUCAUAUCCAAUUCAAUCCAAUUUACCAUUUUGCACCUAUUCUUUUGAUUAAUUCCAAUUUUGUCCCUAGACUCGGAAAAUGAAAUUCAUGCAAUUUAAUCCUUAUUCCAAGCCUAGCCAAAUUUUUCAUAUAACAUUUACAAUUCAUAAAAUUCAAAAAUUUUCCAUAAAUUUUACAUCUUUACAAUUUAGUCCCUAAAUCACAAUUUCAUCAAAAUUUCCUUUACAAAAGUUGUUUAUCUAUCAACAACCUUUCAUUUUCUACCAUAAAUUCCAAAAUUUCAGCAUACUCAUUCAUGGUAAAAUUUUAAUACUUUGAUAACUUAGCAAAUUAAUCCCCAAAAUAGAUAGAUUAGGUUAUUACAAUCUCGAAAAUAUAAAAAUUACUAAAAACGGGACAAGAAUUCAUACCUAAUUGAACGAAAACAACUUGCUUGAGCUCACUUUCUCUUAGCUAGGGUUUCCAUGUAUUUUUAAUUUGGGGAUGAAGAUGAAAUAGAUGAUAUUAGUUUAUUAUCAUCUUUAAUUAUUUCCAUUUCUAAUUUGGUCCUUUUCUUUUUCUAAUUUUCAAUGGAUGAAUCGUCAUAAAUAUCUACUAACUCCAUUUAAAGAUCUAAUUGCCAUAUAAGGACCUCAAAUUUUGAAUUCCAUAGCUAUUUAAUCCCACUAGCUACUAGAAUUCAACUUUUGCAUUUUAUGCAAUUUGGUCAUUUCUAUAAUUAAACAUGAAAUCGGUAAAAUUUUCUUAUCGAAAUUUUUAUACAUCAUUCCUAUCAUAAUGUAGAUCAUACAAUAAUAUUAAAAUAAAUUUUAUUUCUAACUCGGAUUUGUGGUCCCGAAACCACUGUUUCGAUUUCACUAAAAACGGGCUGUUACAGUACAAAUAUGAAUCUUGCACUCUCUUCAACCCUUAUUCCUUCUCAUCAACCAAGACAAAUUUCAAGUAAGAUCCAUAAUUAGCAUUGGACUAUCAAGCAAGAACCUUAAAUUCAAUGCAAAUAAAACGAUAAAUCGAAUAAAAAACCAACAAAUCCAAUACACCUUUAGAAGAAAGAACUAGAAAAUCUUAGAUAAUAGAUUUAAAGAAGCAAACAUAUUCCAUUAAUUUAAGCUAAAUACCAAAUUGGCGCAUUAACAAAAAAAUUUUCCCAUUUUUCCUAUAAGAAUCAUCAAAAUCUCUAAACAUUGGGAUCCUAAAAUUACACUUUUUUCCCUUAAUUUUUAAUCUGGGUAUUUGAAGCUACCUUUAUCUACCUUAAACAGACAAACAAACACUAGGCACGCAUACAAGAACAACACAUUGUCUCUCCAUGGCUUAUAAAAAUAAAAUUUCUUCCUUUUGUUUAAAAAUUAAAAUGAUUUGUUAUUGUUGGAGUUAGUGAUAUUUUACUAAAAUGUAUCAUCAAAUUCAUAGAAGGCCAAACAUCAAAAAGGAAAUAUUUAAGAAAAUGAAGAAAACAGAGAAAGAAAGUUUUACUAGAAGUGUUAGAGAAAACAGCGAGACGAAGAGGCCAAAUAUCGAAGAAGGGUAAAUUUUUUCAAUCUAAUACAAAUAGAAUGGAAUCUAAGCUCUUCCUAGAAAGCCAAAUUACUUGAACAAGGGUAAGUUUUACAUUUGCUUUUACAAUCGAAAAAGAAACAUUGAAAAACAAAUAUUAAUUGAAAAAAACGUAAAGAAACAUUGAAAAACAGAUAGUUCGAAUUAAAACUUACCAGAUCUUGGAUCUAGCGAGACGACUUGAAAAACGUUUCACUUCUUUUUUUUCAAUGGAUUAAGCUAUCAGAGUUAGGAGGAAAUGAGAUUAAAAAAGAAAAAAAUUAAAUUAAGUGAAGAAGAAAUGAAGUUUACAAUGGUGGAGGGAAGAAGAAUGAAAAAAAAUAUCAGUUGGAAUUGGGGAUUUCAAACUGUGAAAAAGAGAGGAGAAUGGUGAGGAUAAAAUUGAAACAUUUCUCUAAUUUGUUGUUCCACCAUUCCUUGAAUCAUCAUUUAGUGCGGGGAGUACGAAAUGGUUUGAUGCAUUUUCACACUAAAUAAUCCCGUAACGAAUAGCUGUAAUAACUAUUAUAGCCAACCAAACAAUGGUUUCGUGAUGGGUCCACUGAAUUGGGCUAUAAUGUAUCACCAUUACAGUCAAGCAAACAUGUUGUUGGUUUUAAAUCGGUGGAGUUUAAGAUGGAUAGUAUUGUUGUUAUUUAAUUAAUUCAAGCAAAGUCAAUUUAUUAGAAUUCUUGAAUUGCGUUAAGAGCAAUUAAAGAUCUAAUCCAACUUUCUUGGAUAAUACGGAUUACACAUGUCGUCCAUAGUUUGGCAAUAUUGACAUUUUCGAAGUCUCUGAUUAAGUAUAUCUAUAUGCGAUCAUCAUAAAAUCUUUCAACUGAUACAUGAUAAUUACUCCGAAAGAGGGUGGCCUCGCAUAAUUUAGUUAUACUUUUUAAUUUCUUUCUUUAAAAAAAUUAAAGUGAAAAAAAAUUUUAAUUCAAGUUCAUAAAGAUGAAUUGAUCCUUUUAAUUGGUCUCAUUCGAACGAUGAUUAAAUUAACUAAAGGUAAUUGGGGCCUAUAGUUGAAUAUGGAACUGAGAAAAGGCCCAAUAAGGAAGAAACCACAAAACCAAAGAACAGCACGCACAACACAAACAAACAUUAAGACAUCUCUCUCUGUUCUUCACCAGUUUCCGAAAACCAUCUUCUUCUUCUUUUUUUUAAUUUUCUCAUUUUGAUUUUGACUCUGCCUCACGUAUCCAAGUUUCUCUCUUUCAUUGUUCUGCCUCUUCAAUUCUUUCUUACAUGACCCGACCAAAAAGAAAAUAAUUAUAGAACCCAAAGGAUCAGAAAUUUAAAAAAAAAAAAGGUUUUAACUGGUUUAGUUUCUUCGUCUUUUCUUCGUGUAAGAUCUGGAAAGUAAGUUUCUUUAAUCCAAUUCUUGAAAUGGGUUUGUUCCUAUUUCUUCAAAGAUAACUCCUAUAUGAAAAGAAUUCACUCUUUUUUUUGGGUUUAUAGGGAUGAAGCGAAUAAGAGAUGAUAUAUAUUCUGGUUCUCAAUUUAAACGCCCAUUUACUUCUUCAAGGGCUGAAUCGUAAGUUGUCUUCUUCUUUUUUUUUUUUUGUUGGUUCCUCUGUUUUUAUAAUCUGUUUGCUUUCUCUUUUAGGGUUAUUUUGGUUGGUUUUGUUUUAAUAUGAUAAAGUUUGGCUUUUUUGAUAACUUGGUUUUUUUUUCCUAAUUUUUGUUGCUGGUUAGUUAUUGUUCUCAGCUUUAAUGGUCUUUUUUGGUGAGAUUUGACUGAGAAUUUUGUUGGAUUUGCAUGUGGGAUUGUAUUGCUUAUCACUUUGAAUUGAGUGAUUCGUUUAUGUUUUUGAUUUAUCAUGUUUUGGUUGAAUCAUAUUGGUGUCUAUGAUUCUUGGGACCAGUACAUAAAGUAAGACUUGCUACUUGGUUUUGUAAUAUUUGGUAAAUAACACUUUUUAACUAAAGGGAUCUUUAGCUCUUUCUAAGAUUAAUCAUCUGUUGAAAGUAAAUUACGUUUAGCCCAAUUUGUAGAGUUUUUUAUUCAUUAUUGUGGAGAUGGAUGUAGCUCUGAAUUUUCUUUCAUUAUUUCUACCUAUUAAGCUAUGGGCAAAACCAAAUGCCUGGUGGAGGUGGCGGUACAGGUGGAGGGGAAGGGGGAGGAGGAGGAGCUGGAGGAGGGGGAAGUAUGUCGCAGAAACUGACUACAAACGAUGCCUUAACAUAUUUAAAGGAAGUCAAGGAGAUGUUUCAGGAUCAAAAAGAGAAGUACGACAUGUUCCUUGAAGUCAUGAAGGAUUUCAAGGCUCAAAGGUAUCCCAUUUUCAAAAUGCCAAGUUUUCUUGACGGACAACGAAUUGUUGUUUAAACUACUAAAUGUCUAUACAUCUUUUGUCUUCUGCAGGACUGACACUGCUGGUGUCAUUGCCCGAGUGAAAGAGUUAUUCAAAGGGCAUAACAACUUGAUUUAUGGAUUUAAUACCUUUUUGCCAAAGGGAUAUGGAAUUACCCUUGACGAGGAUGAGGCUCCUCCAAAAAAGACUGUUGAAUUUGAUGAAGCAAUCAGUUUUGUAAACAAAAUAAAGGUGAAAUACUGAAAUUGUUGUGCUAUAAUCUUCGGCUUAUUGAUGCCUGUGUUUAGCCAUCUAAUUUAUCCAUUUUACUAUGCAGAAACGUUUCCAAAAUGAUGAGCAUGUUUAUAAAUCAUUUCUGGAUAUUUUGAAUAUGUACCGGAAGGAGCACAAGGACAUAAAUGAGGUCUAUACUGAGGUAAUGUCUUCUUCUUUUUAACUGUGUUCAUUUGCUCUUUGGCAUUUACUGAAUCUUAAUCUCUUGAUUUUGUUUUCUUCAGAAAAUAUCAUGUGUUCUUUGUUUCAUUGCUUUCAGGUUGCUUCUCUUUUUGAGGACCAUCCAGAUCUUCUUGAUGAGUUCACAAGAUUUUUGCCAGAUUCUCAAGCAGCACCUAUGACCCAACAAGUUCCAUAUGGUCGAAACUCAACUCAGCAUUAUAACGAGCGAAGCUCUGCUACACCCACCUUGCGGCAAAUACAAAUGGAUAAGGUAGCUGUUCUCUCUCUUAUUUUUAAUAUUUAUUUUCUUGCUACUUGCUAUGCAUUGAUAUGCUUGUGAUAUGAACAAUGAUUCUUUUAUUUUAUUUUUCCAGCAACGUCGGAGGGAUAGGAGUAUUACUUCCAAUGCUGAUAGGGAUCUCAGUGUUGACCGUCCUGAACUGGACGAUGACAAAGCUGUUAUAAAAGUGCAAAAGGAGCAGAGAAAGCGCGUGGAAAAGGACAGUAGGGAUCAGAGAAUUCGUGAUCACGAUGAUCCUGAGCAUGACAACAAUAGGGAUUUUAACUUGCAACGUUUUCCUGACAAAAAGAGAUCCGGAAGGAAGGUUGAAGGAUUUGCUUCUUAUGAUGACAGGGAUACUUUCAAAAGUAAGUCUCUCAACUUUUUAUAACUAUUAUAUGUGUAUAAUAUACAAAGUAUCACCUUUGUUUUACUUGCUUUUUGAACGUAUCAUAAUUAUACAGUUUAGGGUGUUUAGGGUGACAAUUUUGCUGUUCUUUUGCAAUGCUUUGCUAAUAAAGUAGCCUUGCUUGUGUAGUGGGAUCCAGGUUAAUGCACAUUUUCUUGUUAUUCUUAUAUCAACCUUUUAAAGGUUUUUCUAUUCAAAUCUCAGGCAUGUGCAACCAAGGGUUUGUAUUCUGCGAGAAAGUUAAGGAGAGGCUAUGCAACUCAGAUGACUACCAGGCGUUCUUAAAGUGCCUUAAUAUUUAUAGCAACGGAAUAAUCAAAAGAAAUGAUUUGCAAAAUUUGGUAUGUUUUACACCAUCUCUAACAGUUAUCUUUGAUUUUAGAAUCAUUCAAUCACUUCUCUUAUAUGUUAUAUUGGUCCCUAGGUGACUGAUUUACUUGGCAAGUAUCCAGAUCUUAUGAAUGAAUUCAAUCAGUUCUUGGAGCGUUGCGAGAAUACGGGUAACAACUUAAGCAUCAUUUUAAGUUGUUUGUUUCGAUUAUUAAUUCUUAUGGCUGUUUUUAAACCAAAUAUCUCCUGCAGAUGGGCUUCUUGCUGGUGUUAUUAAUAAAAGUACGCAACUGAUAGCCUCCUUUUCUUUCUGAUUUUGUUACACAUUUUCUUAUUUAUCUUUGCCACUUUCUCAUUUAUCGAGACCGUUGUAUCGGAAAAAAAAUCCCAAAAAUUGGAUCAAAAAACUGAUACCAUGAUGAAAUUAGAGAUGAAUACUCUAAUGUAUUGAGGAAAAACUCACUCAAAAGUAUGUAUUUCUUAGAAAUAUGUAGAACUAUAUAUACAUGAAGAUUGAAUCAACCUAAGGAAAGAAUAUCUCUAAAUUAGAAUUUCUAAAAAUCAGUUGUAAUCUCUAAAGAUACUAAUCAAUGCUAUCAAAUAAUCAAAAGAUUCUCAACACUUAUUUAUCUGUAAAUCGCAAUAAUGUUUACUUCUUGAUUACAGAAUCUCUUACAGUUGUUGGACAUGCACCCAAGUCAGAGGAAAAACGUGAAAUUGAGGCGGCUAAGGAAAAGGAGAGAUAUAAGUAUAUGGGAAAAUCAAUACAGGAGCUUGACCUUUCUAACUGCCAAAGUUGUACUCCAAGCUAUCGGCUUCUGCCUGAUGAUGUAUAAACUUUUGUUUUUUUCCCCCAUGCAAAUUAUUUAUGAUUUGGCACCAGUUUUUAAUGCUCUUUGGUGUUUCUUUUGCAGUACCCAAUACCUAUCGCAAGUCAGAGAUCUGAGCUCGGCGCUCUAGUGCUGAAUGAUAAUUGGGUAUCUGUGACUUCAGGAAGUGAGGAUUAUUCUUUUAAGCACAUGCGCCGAAAUCAAUAUGAAGAGAGCUUGUUCAGAUGUGAGGAUGAUAGGUAAAUUUUCCGGGCCUUCCUCAAUUUAUUCCAGUGCUAUGUAUGCAUUCACCUUGGUGAUUAUUUAUCUCUUUUUGUAAUUUAAUUAUGCGUCGUUCCCAUUGUAAUUUUAUAUACUGCAUGUGAAGGUGAGAAUGAACUUUCGUAAGAAAUAUCUAUAUGCACUGAUUAAUUAUUCAGUUCGUUUAUGCCCUUUUGUAUUCCGGUGUUAAACUAUCUGACUGGUCAAUGUACUAUAGGCUUAUGAGCAAAUUAGUCCUAUAAAAGCGAGCAAUUUAAUCUUUGUAGAUUUAAUUUUAAAGCAAAAAGGUAAAUUUGUAAACGGUGGUAAGGUUGAAUGUUAAAACAUAUUGACUUGCCAUGUUUUAAAGUGGCAAGAGAAAAACUGAGCAAUUUAGUCCUUGUUGUGUUUUGAAAAUGUUUUGAAUUUCUUUUUCAUUUGUCACUUUAAAACACAAGUCAGCUUUUCUUAUCCUUCAAAUUUACCACUGUUUAAAAAAAAUACAAGGAUUAGCUUGCUCAUUUUUGUAGUAGAGGGACUAGUUUGCCCUUUAGCCUUUGGUACAGGGACCCACCAGUUGCUUUAACCGAAAUCUAGAUAUUAUAUCCUUCCUGGACAUGACAGUUCUUGUUUGAUGGUCUUAGGUUUGAGCUGGAUAUGUUGUUAGAAUCCGUGAGCUCAACAGCCAAGCGUGCCGAGGACUUGCUAAAUAGCAUUAAUGAAAAUAAAAUAAAUUUGGAUUCUCCGUUCCAUGUUGAAGAACACUUCACUGGUUAUGUCUCCUUGCUAUGUGAAACCUUUUUCAUCAUUUUAUGUCUCCUUGCUAUGUGAAACCUUUUUCAUCGUUUUAACUUUCGGACUCUUCUUGAUCACUUACUGUAGUUCUAAAUUUAAGGUGCAUUGAGCGUUUAUAUGGUGACCAUGGUCUUGAUGUGAUGGAAAUAUUACGUAAAAAUCCUGCUCUUGCAUUACCCGUCAUUUUAACUCGCCUGAAGCAGAAGCAAGAAGAGUGGACGAAGUGCCGUUUAGACUUCAACAAGGUUUGGGCUGAAAUUUAUUCGAAAAACCAUUACAAAUCGCUUGAUCACCGCAGCUUCUAUUUCAAGCAGCAGGAUUCAAAGAACUUGAGUGUGAAAUGUAAGUGGGAGUGAUGAUUCUUAACAACUUGUUUCUGGUAUAGGGUAUACUUUGCGGUCUACAAUGUUCUUAUUACUUCAAAUGAUCCCUUUUUUUUUUCUAAUUGCAGCUUUAGUGGCUGAAAUCAAGGAGUUGAAAGAGAAGAACCAGAAAGAGGACGAUGUUCUUAUGGCUAGCGUUGCUGGUCACCGACAACCCCCCGCUCCACACCUUGAAUAUGAAUAUGUGGAUGUCAACAUUCAUGAGGACCUAUAUAAACUUAUAGAAUAUUCAUGUGAAGAGAUGUGCUCAACGAAAGAACAGUUAAAUCGAGUAAUGAGGCUGUGGACCACUUUCUUGGAACCAAUGUUGGGUGUGCCUCCUCAACGUAAUGGCAGAAAGGGCACUGAAGGUGCUGGUAAAGCGCAGAAUUCUGCUGUAAAUGGCACUGCAUCAAGCAUUGCUGAAAGUGAUGGGAGCCCUGGAGCUGAUGCUACUGUAAAUUCAGGGCAACCAAAGGCUGCUAGUAAUGGAGAUGGGAACAGUUCUUCCGAACUAACAAAUUCUUGCAGAAAUGGGUUGACAAACAGGGAAACUUUAGCGAAAGAUGAACACUCAGUUCGUGUCUCCAGAGUUGAUUCGAAGCCAGAGAAAGAGAUUAAAUUUACAGCUGAUAAAAGGCCUGGAAUUAACAUGGUUGCUAUUGGAAUCAAAGCAGAAAAUAAUCAGGGCCGAAGCAAUGUUGAAGGGACAUCAGGUGUGUAGUCUGCAAAAGUUUCAUGAAAAUCACUUCCGUGAUUUUGUUGUUCAUUGAUCUCAUUUUUGUUAUUACUUUUAUUCUUGUUAUUCCUUCUUUUCUGAGAUCAUGUUGCAGUACUGAGAUUAGUUUGAAUUUCAAGGUCCCGGUGCAGCUGCAUCUAGACCUACUAGCAUUACUGCUGGUGAGGCUCAUGAAUCUGAAGCUAAUGUUGAUCCUGUACAUUCAUCGGAGGUAUGAUUUUGUGUAUAUCAACUACUAUAUUCUACUUAGCAUCACUGAAGCUGGUAUUACUAAAUGGUUUUAGUAAAAUAUAGCAAUGUUUGGCAUCUCCUGUGAAUGUUGCUUUGAUUCUUUAUUUUGCUUGAAGUAUUUCUGUUUGGCAUCUAUGUUCUAAACAUAUUUAGACAUGGAUGUGAAGAUAUGAACUUCCAAGGAUCCUCAAAAAUAAAAGAAAAAACAUACCUGUGUCAGACACAAAUUUAUCCUAUGCUUACACCUAAGUAGGUUUGCCUAUGCAAUUUGGUUAAUUCGGUUUGGUUAGUUUGGUUUUAGUGUUAGUCAAUUAAAGGUUUAAUGCCUCGUUUGGUUACUAGUGUAAUAACAUGAGGAAAAAGCUUAUUUAUUACAUAUGUAUUUCAAUAGUUGGACAUCAAAUACAGAAUAGUUAGUACAAAUUUAAACUUAAAAUUAGAAAGAUGAGUAAAAGCUCUUCUAAAAAAUAAUACCUCUUCAAAAUAACCGAAAAUUUUUCCUUCUCUUUGCUAAAAAAAAGUCAUGGGAGUGCCUAAAUAUUAUCAAUUGAAUUAGUUUAUUGCUUACUCAUGUACUAAAACAUGUGUAAAAAAUAAUACUCUUACCGAAUGUAGAGUAAAUGUGUAGUGAUUCUUGGUUUACAUAACUGAUAAUUGAACCAGCAAACUAAAUGACUUAAUGUAUUAUAUUUAUAUUUGUAUCUUUUUAUAUAUUUAUAGUAGUAUAGAUAUAUGGAAAAAUACUUAAUUGAUUACAUUUCUCCAAUGGUUAGGAUAUUUUUUAAGGAAAUAUAAAUAAUUGUUUUAAAUAAAUUGGAAUUAAAAAAUGGUAGAUUAGCCUAUUUAUUUUCGGUUAAUCAAUCGACUUAAGUCUGUUUGAUUAUUUCAUUUUUUUUUUUAAGUCAAGUUUGGUUUUUGGUUAUUAUUUAUGGGAGGUAAGUUGAACUCAGCUUUCAGGUUUUUUUACCAAACCAAUCGAAUUGACCAACUGCAUGUCCUUAUACCCAAGUGGGUUCUCUCUUUAAUUUUAAGUCAUAAUAAAUAUGCUUAUUCAAAUUUGCUUGGUGAUUCAGGGUGUCACUGUAGCAAAACAUCCUUUAAUAGUAAAUGGAACGCCUACAGAUGGCUCUAAUGCUAGCAGAUAUCACGAAGAAUCCACUGGUCCCUCCAAAGUCGAAAAAGAAGAAGGUGAAUUAUCACCUAAUGGUGAUUUUGAGGAGGAUAAUUUUGUUGCCUAUGGUGAUGCUGGUCCAAAGGUAGUGCCGAAGGCAAAGCAUGGUGUUGAAAGCAGACAACAGCGAUCUGGAAAUGGGAAAGAUUUGCAUUCCGUGGAUGCUGGUGGAGAAAAUGAUGCGGAUGCUGAUGAUGAGGAUAGUGAAAAUGCCUCGGAGGCUGGUGAUGAUGCAUCGGGCAGCGAGUCUGCAGGUGAUGAAUGCUCCCAUGAAGAGGAGGAAGAGGUCGAACGUGAUGAAGUUGAUGGUAAGGCUGAGAGUGAAGGUGAAGCCGAAGGAAUUGCUGAUGCACAUGUGGGAGGAGAUGGGACCUCCUUGUCAUUCUCGGAACGUUUUCUUUUUACAGUGAAGGCUCUUUCAAAGCACGUACCACCAGCUUUACCUGAAGAUGAGAAAUACAAUUCUUGGGUUUUUUAUGCAAAUGACGAUUUCUAUGUUCUUUUCAGACUUCAUCAAGUACGUUAGAUUUCUAAAUCUUUUUAGUUAUUUCUUCUUUUUUUUCUUUCUACAUUUUAGUAAGUAUUCUUUAUUCUUUGAUUUUCAUUAGAUCCUGUACGAAAGAAUACUUUCGGCAAAAACAAAUUUAGCCGGUGGUGAAAUAAAAUGGAAACAUUUGAAAGACACUAGUUCUUCAGAUUUAUAUGCCAGGUGAUUUACUUUUCUAUAUAACUCUACUGAACAAUUUGAAGGGUUUAAUGCAUUCUAAUUCAGAAAUUUCAUCUCUUUGGUACCCAGAUUUAUGAGUGCAUUGUACAGUCUGCUCAAUGGAUCGACCGAUAAUACGAAGUUUGAGGAUGAAUGCCGAGCUAUAAUAGGAAACCAGUCAUAUGUGUUAUUCACAUUGGACAAGUUGAUAUAUAAAUUGGUUAAACAGGUUUGCUUCGUCAACGGUCUUCCAACAUUCUUCCUUGUUUUCCAUUCAAUCAUUUGAGAUAUUUUCAUUGCAGCUUCAAGCUGUUGCAGCGGAUGAGAUGGAUAAUAAGCUUCUUCAAUUGUAUGAAUAUGAAAAAUCCCGGAAACAUUGGAAGACAAUGGAUUCAGUUUAUUACGAGAAUGCACGUGUCCUCCUCCAUGAGGAGAAUAUAUAUAGACUGAAAUGCGUAAGUUUUACAUGUUCCUCUCUUACACCCCUUUUCCGGAAAAAGAAAUGAACUGAAUAAGGAACAUGAAUGCCCUACGUAUGUACACUUUGGCUUCCUUUUUUGCAGUCAUCUUUGCCAUCUCGUUUGUCUAUUCAGCUGAUGGACAAUGUCAUUGAAAAGCCCGAAGCAUUUGCUGUUUCCAUGGAACCUAAUUUUUCAGCCAUUUUGCACAAUGACUUUCUGUCAGUCUUUCCCGGAAAGAAGGAACCACAUGGCAUCAUACUAAAGAGGUAAUGACGGAUAAAAAAUGUAGCAUGUAGAUGCUAGGUUCUGCUAGCCUCUUAUGUGUUAUUAUAGAUGAUUGUAGCAAAGAAAAGAAUUGGAAUAUGUUACUCCUUCCUAUGUUGCUCAAAUUGUGAUGAGUAUCAGAUAUGAGAAUGUGCCCUACGCAGAUAUAUUGAAUCUUUUAAAAAAAAAAUCUUCUAAUUGGAGGAUCUUUAGUGGAUCAUAUCCCAUCUCCUUAUCUGCACAUGAGUACUUCAAGAAAAAUGAAGCGUCAGAGCAACAUAUACUAGUGCUAAUAAGCUUUUUUCUUUACUGAUAUUGCAGAAACAAGAAGUAUUCAAAUCCUAUGUUACUUGGACUUGGGUGUGAGUGUUAGAUACGAGUAUGUGUCUGACACGGGUGUAUAGUAUUUUCUUUUUUCUUUGUUUUUCUAUCUAAUUGGAUGAUCCUUAGAGGAUAUAGGUGUUGGGCACGAGUCUACCAAAGAAUUAUGGAACAUCAGAGCAACAUGGACUAGUGCUAAUCGGGUUUUCUUUAUCGAUGUUUGCAGAAACAAGAAGAACUACGCAAAUCUAGAUGAAUUUGAUGCUACUUGCAUGGCCAUGGAAGGCGUUGAACUGGUUAACGGUUUAGAGAACAAGAUAGCUUGCAACUCAUACAAGGUAUCGUGCUGUUAUAACAUUGGGUUUAAUCUUUUGUCUUCCCUUCUUUCAUUGGACUACGGAAGCACGGCGCAUGCUUUAUCACUAAGAAAAUGCCUUUGCAUGUACUGAGUACCUUGGGUUUUUUUCAUUCAUGAUCUGUGUAAUUGUUUGUCAGAUAUCUUAUGUAUUGGACACUGAAGAUUUCUUCUUUCGUAGAAGAAAUUCAUCACGGCGCAGAUCACGCAGUAAUCAGGCAAGAAUACAACGGUUCCUUAGAUUUUUAUCCACUACACAAUAAUUUAGCAUUCUCUCUCAGCGGCACGAAAGGUACAUUCAACAUUGCGAUCUUUCCAUCUUCAUAACUCUUAAAUUACUUGUUUAUGACAAUUUUCAAGGACAACUUAAUUUAUCCACUUCAUGGCUUUCUGGCAGAACCCAUUGGUGGAAACCAAACCCCAAAAGGCUUUCGAAAACGACAUGUUUUGUGUAUGUUCAAACAUGGUCGAUGCUCAGACUGAAGAAAGGACGAACUGUUAGGAAAUGUAGCAUAUUUGUAAGAUGAUAUGAGCAGGAUCUGACCAAUUAUCCUGUAAAUAGGAUUUGCAAUUUGCAUGAUAAUUUGUAAAGAAAAGGAAAAAGGUAAAAGAAAAAAAAAGAAUCAUUGUUCCAAACGUGUUUUAUGCUUUUACCCACAGGUUUACCAGCUUCUUCCAAUUUGCAUAUCUAGUUCAUAGUGAAGCUACCUGAGUAAUUACAAUGCAUGCAAAGGACAUAAGAGGAAAUGUUGAGAACCAAAUAUUAUCCUUGUGAGUGAUUGUAUCAAUUAAUUGGGUUUAAUUCAUUUUGUUUGACAUGGCGAAGCCAUUAGAAAUCCGAAAAAAGAUACCGAUGGUUAUAUUGCUUUUGUAUUACUAUCGAUUCUUUUGAAUAUUUUAAUAAAAUUUUUAUAAUAUAAUGUUAUCAGAUAUGCAUGUAAAUGUACUUCAUCUGCUAUUCAUAGAAUUAUUAUUUAUGUAUUCGUAAUUUUUUAUUGAUUUAUAAAAUAUAAAAAAUAAAAUUACUUUGACAAAAAGAAACGCUAGUGUUAAUUAAUGGCAAAAAGUUAAAGAACAAAAACCUAAUUUGACAAGAUUUUGACACUACUUUUCUUUAAUAUCUUUUUCUCCCUCUUACCCCUAAAAUUAUUAUUUAAUCAUAUGAGGUUGAUGUAAAAAUUAUGCUUGAAAUAUUUUUAAUAUGCAUAUAUAAUAAUAUUGUAAUAGUUGCAAAUGAAAAUUUGCUUGAUUAUUAACUAAGAAUUAUCACUUUUAUAGUGAUGAAUUAUGUCCCUUAAAUUCAAAAUUUAUAUUAUUUUAUUAUUAAUAAUGAAUCAUGUUUAUUUAAGGAUAUGCCUAUUAAAUAAUUAUAUUUAUUGUUAAAAGAUAUCACUAUCAUUUUAGAUAGUCGUGUUCAUAUAAAAAAAAAUGAAAACUUUUAUAAAUAGAAAUAAACUCUCAUUUGUCUCACACAAAAAAAAACACAUCAAAUCUUUCUUCUUUUUCUCCCACCAUUUUUUAUAUUCCUAUAUCAUUCUAUAAAGAAUUACUAUAAAAAUUCUUUAUAAAUAUUGAUGUUCUUGCUAUACUCCACUAGUAGACUACUUUCGUCAAUGCAAAACGUAGAUAAUAUUAAACUCCAUUGUAUCCUUUUAAGUUCUUUUGCCAAUAACUCUUUUACACACCAUAAUAAAAUCAAUACAAAUAAAAUCUUAAAUAAAAUAACAUUGAUACAACACCUUAAAGCCUUUGCUAAUUUCUCUUAAAUUUAUUUUUAUCCCCACACUUGAAAGAUUUAUUUACAAGUCUCUAAAAUAAUAAUAAUAAUAAUAAUAAUAAUAAUAAUAAUAUAGAAAGUAAAUAUAGGAUUUAUUUAAAUUAUUAUAAUAAAUUAAAGUACUAUUAUUUAACACUGCGAGGGAAAUAAAAAACUUCGUAUGUAAGUUUAAAACAUGGUCAUGUGAUGUGUUGUGAAGAUAUAAAACAUCUGCAUUCCAACCCCACUUGUGAUUUUAUUUUUAUUCUACAAGCAGAAUAAUUAUCUACAAAAAUUAAAUUAAAUUAGAUGAGUUUUUUAGAGGGUGGGCAAGGCAAGUGGGGAAAAUUUUGCUUUAAUAAUUGGAAGUUUGAAUCUAUCGCUGUCUUGUCUUCGCCCCACAAUCCCUUUACAUUGGGAUUUAUGAUUCAAAGAUGAAAUCAUAAUCGAAGCAGCUGAAUGUUUACCAAUCAAUCCAUUGUGAAUGCCUAAAGUUCUUUCUGUUUUAAAAUACUGCAUUCGACAUGUACUCACUCAUUCCAAAACUCAUACUCGAGGGUCGUAUAAAAACAAAAGCAAAAGGGAGGACACUAAGCAGUGCAAUUAGUUAGGAACUUGGAAAUCUAGUUCACACCCAAAAAGAUAACCCCUCUAAAAUUCACAAUGAUUUCUUUUUUCUUUUUUCUUUAAUCAGUAAGUACUUCAGAAACUUAUUGAAUGUUCUAAGUUUCUGAAAAAGAGAGGAAAAAUGGGAAGCUCAAAGAGGAAAUUAUGAAAUGCACGAAAAGACAGAUUAUAUGAUUACUUGAGAGGGUUGUUGGAUCGAGAAAAUACAUCCAACAGUGUCAGAAACAAAUGUUGCGUACCAUUUUUGAACAUGUGUAUUUGGUCAUCUUGAGUUAGAGAAUCAAAUAGAGAAGGACGAUUGGGGACUUCAAUGAAUCUCUUCUUUUCUUGCAACUUCGGCAUACCAAGAGUUCCAUGCUUCCAUGUAAUGAGCAAAAAGGUCACUAAGAGCUGCAAUAACAUUAACACAAAACUCUAUCAUACAAUAAUAAUGGCAAGGAUAUGGAUUCUAAUAUGAUCACAUAUGAUGUGCAAUUGCAGGAUCUCUAUCCAUCUAGUACGGGGUUCUAUUCAUAAAUCCAAAAUGAAAGGACGAAACAGUUCCUCUCAGAUGAGGAAAGUCUUGUACAAUGUCUUUGAGCUAUGCUGCUCCCGACUCUUCAAUUUUUCUAAUGUAGUCAUGUUCCAUUAUCUAUAUUCGUCCAUGGUAUGACUCUUCAGAUAUAUAUAUAUAGAAAAACUUAGGAGAAAAUGCAAUAUACCCAAUAUCGACUUAAGAGUUCAAGUAACAUAUUGAAUGUAAGCAAUGGAAUGAUAUUUUUAAUAUUUCCUUAACUUUUUAGUCCAAUCACCAUGAAGUAUCAUAAAAGAUAGCUCACAUUGGUGACGUUACUGAAGUUGGCAGCAAGAAAAGGUGACAGAAUCCUUCGGAUGCUUAAUCAAGCAUCCAACUAAUGCCAGAAUUUUGCAGUGCCACUUAUUAAUAAUGCAUGUUCAACGAUGUCUAUUUUUAAGUAAUGAACUAAAGAAGGUACCUUGAUUAAGAUACUGAGGUUUAUAAAUAGAAGCAAGGCUCUCCCAGUCCCGAAUUGGUCUCACAUUUCUGUUUCCUGAGGAUAUAGCAGCAGGAGUAAAAGGGCCAAAUGCAAAACCCUUGGAGCAUUGCUUUGAAUGUUGCUGCAUUUUAUGAUCAUGUUCUACACUAUCGAGCUUAAUAUGCAUUCCCGUAUUUUCCUUCUGGUUUAACUUCCGAUGAAUAGAGGAGUUUGCCUUCGUUCUCUUUAGAUUUUGGUUUGUAAUUUCAGUCCCAAACGUCCUCUUCUUUGAUUCAUUCAAUUCCAAUGCUGUCGUUGAUCCAUUGUGGAGUUUGGCUCCCCAUCCCAGCCACCUGAAUGCUGGUUUCCUGCUUUCGGGGUGAUGGGUCUGAAAAUCAAUCAACCAAAUAAAGCUACGUAAGUAGAAUUCAUGUCGCAGAUAAGAUUAUGUUCGACACGAAUAUAUUUACAUAUUCUCUAAGUUUUUUCAUAUAUUUGGCGGGUCCUUUGAGAGUCAUAUCUCCAUACCCGUAACCGAGUAUUUGUCAAGUACAAGUGCCAGACAUGAAUACUUCAAGGAGUUGGAGCAACAUGGAUGAUAGAUUGUACCUUCUCAAUUAAAUUCAUGGAAGAAAACACAUUGGCAAUGUCAUACAAUCGUCUCACUUUUGCUGCAAAACAAUUACCAGACAAAAGCGUAAGGGAUUGACCAUUAAAAUUUCAGACAUGACAUUAAUAAUGGUUUGUUGCUCGCUUACUUCUCACAGCAGUAGAAUUGUGGACAUCUCCCAGCAAAGCAAUCGCUGCACUAUCAAGGGUGAUCAAUUCAGCCUGUAGAAAAAUAAAUCAGAUAUUUGGCAUAGACCAUACAGGACAAAUAAACCAGUAUAUAACAACAAAUCCACAUAAAGCAGUACGUUAUCUUACAUCUGAACAAAGGAAAAGCUUGACAAAGUUCUGUGUGAUAAGCCAAAGGGAUUUUUCUCUUUUUGUAUCUAAGCAAUAAACAAUAAUGCUGAGUAAAUUAAAUAAAGCAAUUAAAGUUGAAAGUAUUUUACAAUAAAAGUGUCCCACGCAUGAAUUGACUGUAUGUAAACACAAUGAUCUCUAUUGCAAGUAGUAUAUUAGCAAAUCAAAAUAAAGAAGAAAAGAAACUAUUACCAGUACGUUUUGAUGAUUCUGAAAGAUUAUCUUGCCCUUCAUUCUUCACAUAUGAAGAGUCUGCACUUUCAUUUUCAUCUAAGACCUAUGCAAAAUAGCUCAGCUAGUUAAACAUGGCAAGGCCAGAGAAUAUUAAUAAGACCUCUAUUACAAAAACAAUGUUUUGAAUUCCUCAAAUUUUACUUCGAAAAAAAGGUACAAACAGAAGGCCAGAUUUUUAAGAUAUAUUUAGACCCAAUUUCCGCUUAUAUUAGAUUAAGAUAUUGAAGCUAAAAUUUUCUCAGCAUGCAGAUGGAGUAAGAAAACCAAAGUAGAAUUAUACCCUUAAUGAUUUACUGCAAUCUGAGAAACAGAAAUUCUGUUUAAGAGCCUCUUCCUGUAAGCAGAACACAUGAUAAAUCAAGUUCUUCAGUUUUAAACGAAUAAAAAGUGAAAAAUGAAAUGCAGAAAUUUAGAAUCUACCUUAAGCUUCUCCAAAGCCUUUGGAAUUUCUCCAAAACCCUUCCAUAAGUAUUGGUUCUUUCCUUUUCUUGCCACUACCUAAACAAGAGAAUGCCAAAAACCAACUCAAACUAAUCUAUUCACUGAACUAAACCAAUAAAAAGAGUCCAAAAGAAACUGCAUCUUACUCCGAUACUCUCCAAUAUAUUCACUACAUCAUAUAUACGACGACGUUCAACUCCUGAAAUAUGCAAAAGGGUUCCAGUAAAGCAAAUUAAUAUGAUUUUAAUCCAAAAUUGAUUUUUUAAUCGAAAAUUGAUUUUUAAGACUUGAGUAGUCUAACUUAAUUAAUGGGAAUUCCGGUAUAUCUCCAAGGGUCCAGAUUUGAGCGGAAAAAUCGAUUGAAAUUUCGCAAUAAACAAACAAAAUUUGAAAAAAAAACUGUCAGUAAUGAUUUCAUUUGGCAACAAUGAAAGGAAAAAAUAGAGUAUAGACCUAGUUUUGAAGCCGCAUCAUCCAGUCCAAUCGUUUGAACGCUGUCAUGAUUAUACAACGCCAAAAAACUGAUACAAAGGAAUUUAAAUUAAAAAAAAAAGAGACGUUUAAAGAUUGAACAAGAUAAAAUAUAAGAAACUUUAAGUAGCUGAAAAAAAAAUUACUUGGAGCAUAAAAGGCCAAGAGAUUUUUCUUUGCGGCAGUAAAGAGUUCGUGAAUUAGAUUCAGAUUCUUGAGAAGCAAACGAAGACAUUGAUGUUUUCCCGAGAAAACCAAGAUAACAAGAAACGUAAAAAGGAAAAUUGGAUCUAUUUAUUUUCUUGUUUGGUGAGUGAGAAAGAGAGAGAAAAUAUGAUUGGCGGGUUUGAGAAUUCAAACGUGAAAUCAGAUCUGGUUUGUCCUCUCUUUUUCAUUUUAAUUCAUGUUGGCAUUUGGUUAGUCCCGCGGAUUCAAAUUGAGAUCUUGAACCGCGAAUUUACGUAAUUACUCUUUUGUCCUUGGCCUUCCCAUUGGGCUUAUCUAAAAAUGGUAUAGGCAUCCAAUACAACAAAAUUAAAUUAAUAAAUUUAAUAGUAAUUUUACAUUUACAUUUACUUUGUUUAUAAAUUUUAGUAAUGGUUAGUCAAUUAAAAACAAUGGAUACCCUAAGAUUACUUCUAACUCAGUUACUCUAAACCUUUUUUUUAAUCCUUGUUUUUAUCUUCAUCCAUAUGACCUGAACUCGAAACCUUGUUUAAAAAGCAUCAAGCUCCUUACCAUUUAACCCAACAAGCAUUAGUAUAUCAUGAAAAUUUUUACAAUUUUUUUAGUGCAAACAAUGAACAAAACAAUGCAAAUUAAUACACAAAUAUCAUGUCCACUGAAUGAUCCCAAAAGAGGAGAAAGACAAACCGACUAUAGCCAUAACACUCGAAAAAUUCAGAAACAAACUAAAAAUGUAUCACCUUGAUCAAACCAUUGAAAUUGCAUCAAAACCCUAUCAUUAUCAGACCAACCUAAUGAUGAACUCCAAUUAACCAAAAAACCACUGCCAAGACCCUAAAAGACCCACCACAUCAGUGAUGCACAAAAUGUCAAAUCUCAUAUAAGACAUUGCAAAUUAAUAAACAAAUGCCAUGUCGACUAAAUAAUCCCAAAAGGAGAAAGACAAACUAACUAUAGUCAUAACAUUCGGGGAAUUCAGAAUUAAAUUAAAGAUGCCUCGCCUUGAUCAAACUAUUGAAAUUGCAUCAUAACCCUAUCAUUAUCAGACCAACUUGACGAUGAUCUCAAAUUAACCAAGAAAUCACUAUCGAGACCCUAAAAAACUCAUCACAUCGAUGAUGCACAAAAGAUCAAAUCUCAAAUAAUUUAUCCUUCUUAUCAUUAUCUUAGGUUCCAAUUUUACAAUAUCAUCAUUCUUCUCUAUCAUGAAAAGUCCCUCAAAAAAUAUUCUCAUAAAAGAUUUUAUAAUCAUGGUUAAUUUAUAUUAAGUAAAUCUAAUUUCGAAAUGCGUAUACGCUUGAUUUAUUAUUUUAUAUGGCAAAAUAACUUGAUUAUGGAGGCUUUCUAUCUCAUCCGAUCCAAUAAGGAUGGAAUUCUUUUAAGCGGGUUCAAGAGCGGGACGAGUUUUUAUUUAAUUUUUUUAAGAUCAGAUUUUGAUUAAAUCUACACCGCCCCAUCUCCAAAUAUUAUCAAAAUACUCCUCUUUUAAUUUUAUAAUUUCUUUUAUAUAUUUUAUUUAAAAAGUUCCAAAUUUUUGUAAGAUUUUUAACUCUUUUUAUAUGCUAAUUAGGUAUUUUUUAUUUUUAUAAUUUUUAUAUAUUUUUAUUUUUUAUACAAUAUUGAGGGUGGGGACGGGAGUUACACGAUUUGAACCCAUAUUAAACGAGUGUUUGAUAAGAGUUUUAAUCACCACUUUGUACGUCAAGAUAUAAUAUAUUUUUUUUUAUUCAAGACAUAAUACCAAAUUUAGUGCAAGAUGUUUAUAUCAUUUUUUUUCAAUUUAGCCCUAUUCUCCUUCUUCUUCUUUUUUUAAAGUUAAAUUUGGCCUUCAAUCUUUUGAAAAAAGUUAAAUUUUAUCAUCAACAUUUCAAAAAGAAUCGAAUUGUUAUUUUUUAACAAAAAUACUGACUAAAACAUUAAAAUUUUAAACGUGGUAGCUCGCAUGGAGAUCAACAUAUACUUCAUGUUUUUUUUUAUGAAUUUUUAUUUUUUUGUUGAUGUCGUAUAUAAGACAAAUAAUAACAUAUCAACAUGAAAUAUACGUGAAUUGUCACACAGGUUGUCACUUUAAAUCAUUAAAAAAUGAUAUUUUAUUCAACAUAUCUAUAAAAAAUUAAUUUGACUCUUUUAAAAAGAUUAAGGUUCAAAUUUAAUUAAAAAAAGGAAUAAGGGUCAAAUUGAUAAAAAUAUUUAAAUUUGAUAUUAUAUAUUUAUUUAAUUUUAUAAAUUUUAAUAUAAUAUAAAACAUUUAUUUAAUAUUUCAGGUGAAGUCAUAUGAAAGUUAAAGAAUUUUUAUUUUUCCAAAGUUGUAUUAGGAUAUUAAGUAUGGGUUUAGAUGGACAAUGCCUUUAGUUACUGUUAGUGUAAAAAUAAUGGUGGUGAUGAGAUUAAAUACUAUAACGAUACUAUAGCGUGAGAUAAAAAAUAAGCUAAACGCACUGCACCGAAUCUCCCCGUUCAUCCAAACUCACACUAAAUUUUUAAAUAAAAUCAAGUUUUAGAGUAGAGUAGGAGUGGAAAAUACAAAAAUCCAAUGAAAGUGGGAGAUUGCCAUCUCUAAUUUAACUGUAUUUAGAUGACAAUUUAUCAAAAUAUUAGAAUCUGUAUUAAAAAAAUUGAGGUUACCAAAAAUAAUUUAGAGGGCAAAAAGGGAAUUUCAUGUUAAAGGGCAAAGAUUUAAGACUUACCACGUGCGGUUUAGGUGGCAGUGCGCUUAGUUAAAACGGGUGGCGCGCCAAAAGGUUUGGAAAGGCAUCGGUAUCGAGACUGAAACUGUUUUAUUUGAUCACGUGACUGUCCUUAGCCACUUAACCUCAAUUAUUCUGCAAACUAUUAUUUUAAAAUAUGGCGUCGAGUAUUAGAUUCAAUAUUGAUAUUUGCCUAAUUUUUCAGAAAUUUUAAUUGAACUUAUGUAUUAAGUUUUUUAUGUUAAGUUUAUUUUUAAUAAUUUUAAAUUUAUCUUUUAAAUUGAUAAUUCAAAACUAAAUGGACCUAAAAAUUGAAUUAAUAGCUUAGUAUUAAAUUUAUCUUUUAAAAUUUUUUUACCUUAUUAAAUUUAUUUUAAUUUUUUAAAAUUUGUUUUUAGCGUUAGAUUUAUUUAUUUUUAAUAAUUUAAUUUAUCUUGUUACACAUUUUAUGUUUGUUAUUGUAGCACGUUUUUCCUUUCCCUCUUCUCUUUCUUUCAUUUUUUUCGACUCUUCUUUAUUUUUUUUCCCACAAGUCCCUACCCUAGAUCUUUUUCUCUUUUUUCCCUAUUUUAUUAACAAUUUUAUAGAGGAUAAAAUAACGAGAUUGACAAUUAAUGACGAUGGAGAGGAACCUAAAAAAUUGAUUUGAACAAUGGUGAGGCAAUCAAAUCAAUGGAUUUCAAUUUAAUGGGAUGCUUUCUUGCAACAAGUGUGGUUCAUUUUCAAUCUAUGCGCAAUACGAUGGCUCAUCUCUACCAACCAACCAAUAGUGUCUUCAUCAUGGAUUUUAAGUGAGAAGCAAUCUUUUUUCAAGUUCUAUUAUGAGAUUGAUGUUGAUAGGGUGGUUGAGGGAGAUCCUUGGACUUUUAACAACCAUCUUUUAUUGAUUCAUCGCUUAAAGAACAAUGAAGAUCCUAUGCAAGUCCCUUUAUUCUUUGUCAACUUUUGGGUUCAGAUAUAUUGCGGAUAAACCCGAUUAAGCAACAAACAAGUAAAAUCAUGAAUAAAUUGAAAAGAUCGAACACAACUAUUUUACGUAGAAAACCAUUCUGAAAAGGAUAAAAAAUCACGAGCAAAGAUAAUUACACUAAAAUGACAAAAACGAAGAGUACAAAGAUGGAGAUAAAUCUGAACCCUAAAACCCAAAAAUAAAAACCCUCAAAAUAUAAACCCAAAAUUCCCUAAAAGCUUGUAAAAGCUAAUAGUAAAUGGGUUAUGGGUUAUUUUUCUAGAAUGGAAAAGGGCCUAUUUAUAGGCUAAAUUCGUAGGUCAAAUAAUAUUAAAAUAACCUACAUUAAUCAGAGUUUGAACGGGACAAAUAAUCAAAAUUUGACUGGAAGAAUAAAACUGAGAAAAUUGCAUAAUACGUCGCCUCGUCAUGACAUGGUUGCUGCAUCGUCGGGACGCCCUUCAUCGCGUUGUCGGGACAACGCCUCUUCCUCAUAGGUAUGUCAACUUUUUUUGGCCAAAAAUGCAAGGCAUACUCUACAAAUCUCCACCUUGACUCGUAUUUCCAUAACAACUUCUUUGCUAAAGCUCGCCACUGGCCUAUCUCGAACAAUGCAGGUUAUUAACUGAGUUGAAGUUGUGCUUAGAAACUAGAAGACUUCUAGCCUUCGACUUGUGUACUGCCAAAUCAAAACUAACCUAGGACUGGUUUCCACGAAUGUAGUACCCUGUCUUUUCAAAACCUAUAUAAAAAAGAGAACCUCUCUUAUAUGAAACAGUCAUACAUUUUUUUUGUUUUAUGACCAAGUUGCCUCCACUUCAAAUGAGUCGACUUCAACUUCUUAACAGACAAAGGACAUAAUGUUUCACCGGUUACCGUUGAUCCUUUCAGAAUAUAAAGACUGUCAAUCCUUUUACCUUUCAUAAAAACAAAAGCCUCGUGAGAUACUUUAAUGCCGCUUGAAUCGAUGUUAAUUCUACAACUCUUCGAGUCUAAAUUUCCCAAUGAGAUGAGAUUUCUCUUUAAAUCAGGUACAUACCUAACGUCUGACAGUGUCCUGAUUAUCCCAUCGUGCAUCCUGAUCUGAUCUGAAUUGUACCAAUAUCGAUUACCUUAUUAGGUAAACCAUUUCCCAUACUCACAACUCCACCUUCAACUGAACUGUAUGUGGAGAAACAGUACUUGUUGGGACACAUUUGGAACAAACACUCAAAAUCUAAGAUCCACUCGGACGUAAGCUCGGAGCUUUCGCUUGUUGACACCAACAAGAAAUCAUCACCCUUUUCAUCAGCCAAAUUAGCACCAACUAAAUCUUCUUCUUUACUCUCCGCAGCCCUUUUAUUUCGCAGUUUGUAACAAUCUACCUCAAUGUGACCUAACUUCUUACAACAACAACAUCUCUUGUCUUGCUUACUUGAUGCUACCAAAAUUGAGGCUUGCCUAUCUAACUUGAUAUCCAAACAAAACUCAUUUUUGAGUUUAUCUUUGCUCAACAGAUGACCCUUCAUAUCCUCGAAUGAGAGAUUAUUCUGUCGUAAAUUAGGUCUCUCUAAAAGACUUGUAUGAUGGGGGUAAAAAGCACAAUAAUAGCAGAGCCUAAUCUUCAUCAUCAAUUUGAACCUCAACAUUCUCUAAAUCAUGCAAAAGAGUAAUAAAGUGACUGAUGUGAUCUCUAAGGUGCUCACAUUUGUUCAUGUAGAACGUGUACAACCGUUGUUUCAACACUAAUCGGUUAGUUAGAGACUUUGUCGCGUAAAGGGUUUCUAAUAUUUUCCAUAGGGUGUAUGCCAUUUUCUCAAUUAACACCUCAUGUAACACAUUAUUUGUUUGGCAUAAUUGAAUUGUGUUUAUCAAGUUAAUUACAAGUUAAGUAAUUACUAAUCUAAUCGAGUUGGAAAUUAUUAGUGUAAGUUCAAAUAAAAUAAGAUUUGAGCUAUAUCUAAAUCAACAAAUAAAAAUAUCAAACUAACUUUCUUCCUUUUUUACUAGAAACAAUGCAAAUGGAUUGAAAUGAUGGUUGAAUGAGUCAUGGAUUAUUAACUAAGCUAAUAAAUCUAUGAUGAUUAUAUUGUUUGCUACUCCUAGCUAGGAAUCUUCUCUCAGUCUCGUCUAUCUAAAUCUUCUACUAGAGGCAUCAAUUCUAGUGUAAUAUGCAAUUUAAUACACUUGAGAAGACAAUCAAUCAAGGCAUAGAUAAUAACUUAACUAAGUAACUCACUCAUCAAUCAACCAAUAAAACAAUUCAGCACAUGAUUAAACUUAAAUUCCACACAAGCAUUUUAACAAGCACAUAGUAGGCAUAGAAUAUAAAAGAUAAAGGUUUAGAAAAUGCUUAUUAAUAGAAAAACAUCUGAUGAAGCACGAGCCUUUAGUACAUCUCCAUCCACAAGGUUCCAACAAAAAUGAAAAAAAAAAUACUACAACAAAAACAAAAGGAAAGAGAAAUGAAAAGCAAAAAAAAAAUGUAAACCUAAACUAAAAACUAUGAAACUAAGGAGAAAAUGUUUAGCCAACAAAAUUUGAAAUCAAAAGCUUAUAAAGUAAUAUUUAUAGUCUACUAAUAUUUAACCUAACAUUGACCAUUAUGCCCUUAAAUGAAAAAAGACUUAAGCUUGUUUGGACAAAAAAUUGCCCUUGCAGCUUUUCACCCAUCAGGCAGUGGUAUCAUGAUAAGCUUCGAUAUCGAGAAACCCAAAACAAUCUUGAACUUGAGAGUUUUGGAGGUUUCAACAUCACGAUAUCACUAAAGUUGCCUCAAUUUCCCUUACUUCAGCAUUGUUAGGUGUCACGACGUCCAUGCCACAGUAUCGCGAUACCCCCUUCUAAAUGAUGAUUUCUUCAAGUUCGGGACAUUAUCGAAUCCUUACACCACUCAAUCAUAUUGUUAGGUUCCCCAUGACACGACUGACCAAUUUGUGUCUCAAAAAUGGCAUAAAACUAAAUAAAAACAUUUAUUAAUGCUUAAAACUAAAAAUCGAUAAAAAUAUAUAAAAAAAACACUUAAAUUAAUUGAAAAUAAGCUCAUUUAGUAUAUUGGAGAGCCUAAUUUGACAUAUCAAAUUAUGCCUCCAUCAUGCUUUCAUUCAUUUUCUCUCAUGUGUAGUGCUUUCUGUACAAGAUGUUGCAUGAUAGAGGCAUGAAAAGGAUUAUAAUAAAUAAAUACAUUAGCAUAUUAAUAAGCAUAUAAAUUGACUUACAUUUUUUUUAAAUAUAGAAUUUCCUUAAGUGCCUAGCAUUAUAUACUUGUGGCACAAGUUUCCCAUCCAAGUGUGCUAGCUGUGUUAGAAAACCGGUUAAGAAAACAAUGUUUAUAGUACAACGAAAGUUUAAAUUUUUUUCUUAAAUCGAGUAUUGUGAUAUUUAUAACAAUAAACCCUAAACUGAAUUAGUACAUGUGCUUUGUGUGGGGCAGUCUAGAUCAUUUCCUGGCUCCAUAUCAAAUGAUUUUCUCUAUUAUCUCAAAUCCUGACUUGCUCAGAAUGUGGGCUCUAAGUUCAUGAACCGAUUGUAUAUAAUGAAAACAUUGAUUAAUUUUCAGUAGGAAAAUUAAUUCUCUUCAUGGGAAAUCAAACUUUUGAGCUUUGUAGAAAAUAUAAUUAUUCUGUAAAUAGAUUGUCACUAUUUUCUAACAGAGUAACAUCGCUCAAAAUAUGGAUAACCGGUGUGUGUUUAGUUCAUCCCAUAGUUCCUAUUUAUAGGGAAAAGGUACAAGAAAUUUUCUUGAAAAGGGAUAAUUAAAUAAUAAUAUUUUAAUAUAAAAAUAUAGUUUUCUAGUUAGAAAACUAGGGAAACACACCCUAUUGAACACAAGGGUUUACCGCCCUUCUCAUUUAGGAUGGGCCUCUUGAGCUUGUCUCAUGUAUUUGGUACAAUUAUAUGUGUUAUCUAGACUUUUAACCAACACAUAUAAUUUAACCAACCAAUAACUAUUUUUUUCUAUUUCUCAAAAUAUUAAUUAAUUUAACCAAUUAAAUUAAUUUCUUAACUCAAUUCUAAUUUUGUUAAAGUCACGACAACUUUACCAUAUUAAAAUCUAUGAGGAGAUAUAUUUAAUUGUCUCGUUCAAUAAAACUAUGAUGAUUAAUUAAUUUAAUUUUUAUUUCGAAUUUCAAUUAUUCAAUAUCAAUCAAUUAAAUAAUAAUUUAAAGAAACCAAUUUAAUUUCUAAGUUAUCUUUUGUACUUAGCAAGAAAGCGCAUUCAUUACUGAUGGUGAUACAUGUGGUCUAUUUCUCUUCAUUGUCAUUUUCUUUCAUUUCAAAGUAUCAGUUCCACAUGUAAUUUGAUUUGGGUUAUGUCGAGCUAGCGUAGGGACCGGUUUGGACAUAUAUAUAAUUAAGGCUCAAAUAAUUUGUAAUUAAGUACCAAAUCUUCGUCUAUUAAGUACAAUAUUAUUUAAUCAUGAAGUCAUUCCAGUAAAGUAUCAUGAUUGAACUCUCCAUUAUUAUUACGAAAGCAACUUAAUAAAUGUUUGUCCAAUGACCUUAUCAUAAGUGUGUUACCCUUAUUGAAUAUCAUUUAUCUCUUUGAGUUAAAUUUGUUCACCUAAUAUGAUCCUAUUUUAUCUCAUAGUAACCGAUGCAUCUUCUUUCAUGAAAAAUAAAUUACUAAAAAUUAAUAAUUAAAUCAUUUAUCCUAGAAAAAUGUCCCGCGACCAGAUUACUUUUCCAUCUAUCAAGUAAUGCCAAUGAAAGGUUAUCAUUUAUCCUUUAUUAUGCUAUGAAUUCUAUUAUUGUAAAUGAAACAAUGUCAUACAGAAGUCGUAUACCCAAUUUAGUUAUUUAAACUCAGAUUUUUAAUACAUCAAAGUAUAUGAGUCACGUGUGACCUACUGUCAAAUGGACUAGUUAAUUCGGGUCAAUUUCGCACUUAAGGAACUUGUUUUCUAUACAAUUUAGUAUUUUAAUUUAUGUUUCCUGUAUUUAGGUCUUAGGAUUAAAUAUUAGUAAAAUAAGUGUUUUUAACACAUUUUGUAAAUGUUGUGACCCAAUAGGUCGACAUGGGCCUUAGGUAGUACUAAUAUGUUUAAUUGAGUGUGUAGGAUGGAGAUUUAAAUGCCCAAUUGACAUGGAAGCAAGGGUCAAGUGAUGCACAAGCUUCCUGAGACAUCAAAGCACAAAACGAACACACAAGGCAGAAAUUGUGUGUCGUGUUGCGCCAUAAACAUGGUGUGGCGCGAAAUAGGUCGAUGUGCUACCCAAGUAUAUCGAUGUUAUUUUUGUCAGCACAAGUAACUUUAUACGAAGACCUAAUUUGGGCUGCCAACACUUCUAUAAAUAAGACAUUUGGGGUUUGAUGUAACUAAGUCGUCCUAGACGCCUUCAAAAACCCUAGUAGUUUAGGAGUGGGAGUAGAUUAAUUUUCUUUCAACUUUUCAAUAACUCUUUUGUUUUUCCUCUUGGAAUCAGUUUUGAUCCAAGAAUUCAUUUAUUUAAUUCAAGCAUUUAGGUUUAUUUUCUUUUGCAUUCGAUUUAUUUAUUUAUUCUAAUCAAGUGAUUUGUUAUUCCAUUCCCUGUUCAUUAUUCAGCCCAUAAUUAUUCAAAUCUCUUUUCUUUUUUGAAUCAAUUGUGUUCUUUACAUGAUUAAUUCAAUUGGAGUUAAGAUCAUGAAUAACAUAAAUGGCUAAACCCCUUAGGAGGAGUAAUGAGUGGAUAAGGAUGUGAUUAACAGAGGAUUUAUGGUUUUUCGAGAGGGAUUAGUUGGUAUGAAUUACAUGUGUUUAAACCACUAGGAUUGACAACCCUAGGAAGUUAUCAUAGGCUAGACGAGAUCGGGAGAUAAGCCGAAUCGAGUAAAUCAUAAUUUAUCCUAGUUGAGAAAGUGAGGUCGUGAGAUAAGUGAGUAUCAACCAAUCGAUUAGUUAAUUAGAGGUCGAGAGCUAAUAAUUGGUUAAUCGGUAGCUAAUCCACCUUAAAACCCUAAUUUGAAGUUAAUUACAAACCCUGAAGUGAGUUAAUUUUCCUUAUCAGUUUAUUGAUUUUUAUUGUUUGUUUUUUUUCUUAUUUAUUUUAGUUAUUCAUUUUUAUCUCAUUAAUAUAUUUUAUGGUUUAUUGUAGCAUAGGAAUUAAUUAGUACUGUUUAGGCUUAUUAUUGUAAAAAGGUUUUCAUAAUUUAUUCCAUCCUCCCUUGGGUACGAUCCUCGAAACACUUCCAAAGUAUUUCGUUGUACUGAAUAAUAUUACAAUUUGAUCUGUGCUCUUGCGGACACUUCCGUUCUAAUCUUUUAUAUUUUUGGUGUUAUAUUUUACUAUAAACGGCUCGUUUAUAGGCUGUCAACGUGCUCAUAGUCAAUCACUUGCUUAGUAUUGAGGUAAGUCACACUAUGAAUACCACAAGUAAAUUAAUCCAUAAACAGAUUUAGGAUUGGUUUAACUUGGGUCCUGUUUGAUGUAUUGUCAAUCCAGAGAAUCACAUCUACGUCUUUAUAUUCUGGGAGUUCAUUGCUUCGAUACCAAAGACAAUGUAUCCCAUUAUUAAACUUGAUAGACGACAUAAUAAUCCUUUAACUGAUUUGCUCAACUUUGAUUCAUCAGACUAUGAACCUUUUAGAUUGCCUACUGAUACAAGUUGUCUUCUCACAUUAUGAUCCGACCACGAAAUACAACUUAGUAUUAUUUAAACAUUGGGUAAUCAAUGAGUCAAUAUUUGCUUACAUUUUUCUUUGUGUGCAAAAAACAUUGAGGACAAAUACAAAUUAUAUUAAUGUGAAUAACAUAAUUUUAUUAAAGCAAGGAACCGAUCCUUGGUCCCUCGUGCACUUAGGCUUAUAUAGGGGGUCCCUUAUAUCCUGUAGUGCCAUGUAGCCAACAUCAUAGGGGGUAUACAUGAUUGUGCGGGCGACCAAGUUUUAGUGCCAUUAUAGGUCAAUUGUUUUCAUGGGGUGUAUUGUAUAGUCCUACUCUGACAUUCUCAUCCUUGAAGAUCGUACAAGGCGAUUACGUUUGAGUGGUCCCCACGAGAGGUGCACGACAUGCUAUCUGUAGGGUGGUUCCUUUAAGGUUUGCGGAAGGUCACCCAUGGACCAUUCCUUGUGGAUGGUUUUCCAUAAACUGUUUGAUUGCUUGCUACAUGUCGUACCCUAGGGAAGAUAUAACAAAUAGAUAAUAAUACUUUUACUAAAUAAUUUUGAUACAAAAUAUAUUAUAUUAUAUUAUAUUAUAUUAUGUUUAUUUUUUGAAUUUUUAGCAUAAAUGAACUUCACGUUUAAAAGAAUUCAAAACAUAUAUUUAUUAAUUUAAAUAAUAAUAUUAAAAUAAUUAUAAAAAUAAAAUCAAUUAAACUAUUGAAUUAAGAGGAAAUCAAGUAUAUAUUCAAUAAUAAUUAUAAGAUAAAUAUAGGAUAAUAAUAAAAACAUAAUCAUUCAAACUAGUAUGGUUCUUAGUCUAUGCUUCGCGUUUGGUUGAUUAUUUGUUUGUGUCAAAUUAUAAAGUAAAAAUUUGAAGGUUAAAAUAUGUUUUAAAUCCCUAUGCAAUUUGUAAAUUCAAAAAUUAGUCCCCUACUUUUUGUUUUCAGGAAUAUAGUCUCUACUUUUCGAAUUUAAAAAUUCAAGUGCAGUUGUUAUCAACGUUAAAAAUAUUCUAUUAAAUUCUUUGGUGUGAAAUUUUAUUUUAUUUUUUAAAAUAAUCACUUAAUAGUCAUAUAACAAAAAAAUCGUUAAAAAUACUUAUUAUAAAUUUUUUUUUAAAAGCACUCAUUUGAAAUCGUCAUGAAAAAAUAAUUUUUCCCGUAGGAAUAGUGUUCUUGAGAAAAUCUGACAUCUACAUUUUAAUUGAAAUAGUUAACAAUAUUAACUAUUCAAACUAACUAAUGACAUUAUAAAAGUAGAUGGACAAAAUUAUGUAAAAAAUUAAAGUAUAAAGAUUAAAUCUUAAGUUUUAGUAUAGUCUAGAGGCCAAAAUUGAAAUUUAAUCCUUGUCUUAUAAUGUAAAAAAGAAAGUGACGCAAACUUAAAAGGAAUGAGAAUCUAAAAUUCUUGAGGUAUUCAAACUAUAUUUAACCACAUAAUAUUUUAAUAACAUUAUACAAGUAUAUAGGUCAAAUUAUGUUAAAAAUUAAAAUAUAAAGAUUAAAUUUUAAAAUUAAAUACAUUAAAGGGACCAAAUUUAAUAUUUAAUUAUUUUUGUAUAAAACGAAAAAAGAAGAAAAAGAAAUGGUGGGCUUGCCACCAUUCAAAAGAUACAACCUAACAUUUGGCAUUCCAUUCAAAAGAUUGCUUUUAUAGCAAUUUUAAUGUUGUUGUUGUUUUUUUUUUUUUUUUGUAUAAUUUUUGUCAAACUUGCCUUGCCAUGACAAAUAUCAUGUUUUAUUUAAAAAAAAAAACAUUUUUCCCUUCUUCUUUUUCCUGUCGCUAUGUUUAGUUAAAAACAUUUUUCUUUUUCUUGUCACUUAAAUAAAAAAAGUUGAAUAACUUAAUUUAAUAUGGGCGUACUGCAAGAGAAUAUGAUUGAGAGUUUGAGAACCACGAUGGAAAGAAAACUUGAUGUCUUUAGAAUGAUGAUGACUGGGUAAAAAUUUGAGUUAUAAAAUGGUUGGGUUUGUGCUUAUAGUUUAAUAUAUAUAUAUAAAAUUAAGUUUUCUAUGCGAUUGCGAUGUACAGAUUGAUUAUAUAUUUUGUACAAGCCCAAUUUCAACCCUUCCCAAACCCAUUACAAAACAACCCACCAGCUCAAUCCCACUACCCAAAAUUUUAGACCCAAAUUGCCCAAUACCCAAACCCAACUAAAUUAACCUAAACCCUAGCCCAUUUUCAGAAAAGAAAAAACAGCAGCCCCCUAACCCUAGGUGCGCCGCACCUAGGGUCAUCCACUUGCCCUAGUCGCCGGCGCCGCACGUCACGUCUCUGCCAUCACCGACUCCACCCACUUGCCUGCAAAAUCAGAGAAAGAAAUGACAAGUAAAAAAAUAAUAGAUCAAAAAAUUGUAAACAUGGCUAUAAAGCCAUAACAACCAUCGUAAAAAGGGGAACCGAUUUGUUUUUUGUAAAAAAAGGGAGGGGCUUCUUCUUUUUUUUUCUUCUUCUGUAAUAGUUUUCACAGAAAUAAAAGCAAAAAAAAUCAAAGGUGAUUUCCGGGUUUCUCUGAUUUCAAUCUUUCUCUUUUUUUAUUUUUAUCAUAGUUUUUUUAUUUUUUUUUCAUUUUUAUUGCUUAAACGAAAAUAAAAAAAAGAACAAAGAAACUCACAGGGGAGGGACUUUAAAAACCCAUUCGUGAGCCUCGCCGACCGUCGAAAUACGGUGGUGGUGUGGCGGGCGGUUGGCCGGCGCGACAUGGGGCCUUAAAUCCUCAAGUGUCAGUUUUUUUUUAGAGAGAAAAAAGGGCUUUUGGAAUUUUUUAAAAAAAAUUGCGGCUGAAAUGUUUUUGUGAAGCAAAAAAUGGGUUUAAAUACCCUGUAAAACGACGUCGUUUUUGAAUUUAGGGUUCAGAGACCAAAACGGCGUCGUUUUGGUCUCUGACCCGCGCGGUGACCCG